AUGGCAAAAUAUUGGUGGGGUAGUUCUCUUGAUAAGAGAUCCUUACAUUGGCUGUCUUGGGAUAAGUUAACUGAGCCUAAGAUCAAAGGAGGGAUGGGUUUCAGAGAUCCUCACCUAUUCAACUUGGCCAUGUUGGGCAAACAGGGAUGGCGCCUGUUAACACAUCCCGAUACUUUGUGUGCCCGAGUUCUGAAGGGCAAGUACUACCCACACACUGAUUUCUUGCAAGCAACAGCGCCUGCUCGUGCUUCGUCGACGUGGAAGGCGAUCGUGGCUGGU
RNAcentral lists this ribosomal RNA (279 nucleotides) under Triticum aestivum (bread wheat). Its description in RNAcentral is "partial small subunit ribosomal RNA". The record is from RNAcentral. Lineage: Eukaryota; Viridiplantae; Streptophyta; Magnoliopsida; Poales; Poaceae.